This 253-nucleotide ribosomal RNA is filed under the name uncultured bacterium. Its description in RNAcentral is "partial 16S ribosomal RNA". It matches the Rfam family "Bacterial small subunit ribosomal RNA", at positions 524 to 776 of the family's 1533-position model. The record is from RNAcentral.
GACGAACCGUGCAAACGUUAUUCGGAAUCACUGGGCUUAAAGCGUGCGUAGGCGGCUCAGAAAGUUGGGUGUGAAAUGCCUCGGCUCAACCGAGGAAUUGCGCCCAAAACUACUGGGCUUGAGGGAGUUAGAGGUGAGCGGAACUCACGGUGGAGCGGUGAAAUGCGUUGAUAUCGUGAGGAACACCGGAGGCGAAAGCGGCUCACUGGGGCUUCACUGACGCUGAGGCACGAAAGCUAGGGGAGCAAACGGG